UCUCAAUCGCUGGGAGCAUGCCGGAUCAAGUCAGGUUGAGAGAGGAAGGCAUCCCGGAUGUUAACAUAUUUUUUUAGGCAGGGAGGUUAGUCGCUUUACGAGGAAAAGGAACCCGGUAAAUCUCUGCCCCCGCAGGCGCUAUAAUGGGGAGGGCAAGCGUUUUCUUGAGAAAUAGGGGGUAAAGAGUGCACGGGGGCGCAUUAGAAUGUUAGAUUAGAAAUCGCAGUCUCUACCAUGGAGCCGCAGGAAAAAGUUGUAGUCGAGAGUUGUAGAGACGGGGGGAAAACUCCAAGUGGCGGGGAAAAGUUCGGAGAUAGGGAGGAGCACCCCAGUGGAAGAGGCUGAGCAGGGCCACGAUAGAGACUCAGAGAUGAAAACCAGGGGGGAGAAAGCGAUAAGAGACCCCUGUAUUCUUCGCACUGAACGAGGAGCAUUACAGUGGUGGGGAAUUACACUAUUCGGUGUCGCACCACAACGAAAUAAAUAGU
Molecule: ribosomal RNA, 488 nt
Filed under: uncultured bacterium
Lineage: Bacteria
Description: partial 16S ribosomal RNA
Source: RNAcentral